GACGGGGGGUCCUAGCGUUGUUCGGAAUUAUUGGGCGUAAAGCGUGUGCAGGUUGUCUGAAAAGUUAGAUGUGAAAUCCUUGGGCUCAACCCAAGACGUGCAUUUAAAACUGUCAGACUUGAGUAUGAAAGAGGAUCGUGGAAUUCCUAGUGUAGUGGUGAAAUGCGUAGAGAUCCGGAGGAACACCAAAGGCGAAGGCAGUGUCCUGGGGAGUACCUGACGCUCAGGUGCGAAAGCCAGGGGAGCGAACGGG
RNAcentral lists this ribosomal RNA (253 nucleotides) under uncultured bacterium. RNAcentral's name for it is "partial 16S ribosomal RNA". It matches the Rfam family "Bacterial small subunit ribosomal RNA", at positions 524 to 776 of the family's 1533-position model. The record is from RNAcentral.